UAUUCAGGGAAUUGACAGCAUGCUGCUUUA
RNAcentral lists this non-coding RNA (30 nucleotides) under Mus musculus (house mouse). The record is from RNAcentral. Lineage: Eukaryota; Metazoa; Chordata; Mammalia; Rodentia; Muridae.